RNAcentral lists this ribosomal RNA (1722 nucleotides) under Haemophilus influenzae PittEE. RNAcentral describes it as "bacterial LSU rRNA". It matches the Rfam family "Bacterial large subunit ribosomal RNA", at positions 1221 to 2925 of the family's 2925-position model. Lineage: Bacteria; Pseudomonadati; Pseudomonadota; Gammaproteobacteria; Pasteurellales; Pasteurellaceae. The record is from RNAcentral.
CUGUUGGGUAGGGGAGCGUUCUGUAAGCGGAUGAAGGUGGCUCGAGAGGGCUGCUGGACGUAUCAGAAGUGCGAAUGCUGACAUAAGUAACGAUAAAACGGGUGAAAAACCCGUUCGCCGGAAGACCAAGGGUUCCUGUCCAACGUUAAUCGGGGCAGGGUGAGUCGGCUCCUAAGGCGAGGCUGAAAAGCGUAGUCGAUGGGAAACAGGUUAAUAUUCCUGUACUUGGUAAAGCUGCGAUGUGGGGACGGAGUAGGUUAGGUUAUCGCACUGUUGGAUAUGUGCGUUUAAGUUGGUAGGUGGGAAGUUUAGGCAAAUCCGGGCUUCCUUAACACAGAGAGAUGAUGACGAGGCUCUACGGAGCUGAAGUAACUGAUACCACACUUCCAGGAAAAGCCACUAAGCGAAAGGCUUUACUAAACCGUACUGAAAACCGACACAGGUGGUCAGGUAGAGAAUACUCAGGCGCUUGAGAGAACUCGGGUGAAGGAACUAGGCAAAAUAGCACCGUAACUUCGGGAGAAGGUGCGCCGGCGUAGAUUGUAAGGGCUAGCCCCUGAAGGUUGAACCGGUCGAAGAUACCAGCUGGCUGCAACUGUUUAUUAAAAACACAGCACUCUGCAAACACGAAAGUGGACGUAUAGGGUGUGAUGCCUGCCCGGUGCUGGAAGGUUAAUUGAUGGUGUAAUCGCAAGAGAAGCACCUGAUCGAAGCCCCAGUAAACGGCGGCCGUAACUAUAACGGUCCUAAGGUAGCGAAAUUCCUUGUCGGGUAAGUUCCGACCUGCACGAAUGGCAUAAUGAUGGCCAGGCUGUCUCCACCCGAGACUCAGUGAAAUUGAAAUCGCCGUGAAGAUGCGGUGUACCCGCGGCUAGACGGAAAGACCCCGUGAACCUUUACUAUAGCUUGACACUGAACAUUGAAUUUUGAUGUGUAGGAUAGGUGGGAGCCUUUGAAGCAGUGACGCCAGUCAUUGUGGAGGCGACCUUGAAAUACCACCCUUUAACGUUUGAUGUUCUAACGAAGAUGACGAAACGUGGUCUCGGACAGUGUCUGGUGGGUAGUUUGACUGGGGCGGUCUCCUCCCAAAGCGUAACGGAGGAGCACGAAGGUUUGCUAAUCACGGUCGGACAUCGUGAGGUUAGUGCAAUGGUAUAAGCAAGCUUAACUGCGAGACAGACAAGUCGAGCAGGUACGAAAGUAGGUCAUAGUGAUCCGGUGGUUCUGAAUGGAAGGGCCAUCGCUCAACGGAUAAAAGGUACUCCGGGGAUAACAGGCUGAUACCGCCCAAGAGUUCAUAUCGACGGCGGUGUUUGGCACCUCGAUGUCGGCUCAUCACAUCCUGGGGCUGAAGUAGGUCCCAAGGGUAUGGCUGUUCGCCAUUUAAAGUGGUACGCGAGCUGGGUUUAGAACGUCGUGAGACAGUUCGGUCCCUAUCUGCCGUGGGCGUAGGAGAAUUGGUUGGGGCUGCUCCUAGUACGAGAGGACCGGAGUGGACGCACCACUGGUGUUCCGGUUGUGUCGCCAGACGCAUUGCCGGGUAGCUAAGUGCGGAAGAGAUAAGUGCUGAAAGCAUCUAAGCACGAAACUUGCCAAGAGAUGAGUUCUCCCAAUCAAAGAGAUUGUAAGGGUUGUUGUAGACUACGACGUAGAUAGGUCUGGUGUGUAAGUGUAGUGAUGCAUUGAGCUAACAGAUACUAAUUGCCCGAGAGGCUUAACUAU